RNAcentral lists this transfer RNA (70 nucleotides) under Uta stansburiana. RNAcentral describes it as "tRNA-Val". It matches the Rfam family "tRNA". From Rfam's summary of the family: Transfer RNA (tRNA) molecules are approximately 80 nucleotides in length. Lineage: Eukaryota; Metazoa; Chordata; Lepidosauria; Squamata; Phrynosomatidae. The record is from RNAcentral.
CAAAAAGUAGCUUAAAACAAAGCAUUCAGCUUACAAUUGAAAAAUGUUAGAAACCAACUAACCUUUUUGC